UGCGUAGGCGGGGCAAUUAGUCAGUGGUGAAAUCCUGCGGCUUAACCGUAGAACUGCCAUUGAUACUGUUGCUCUUGAGUAUAGUUGAGGUGGGCGGAAUGUGUAAUGUAGCGGUGAAAUGCAUAGAUAUUACACAGAACACCAAUUGCGAAGGCAGCUCACUAAGCUAUAACUGACGCUGAGGCACGAAAGCGUGGGGAGCGAACAGGAUUAGAUACCCUGGUAGUC
This 228-nucleotide ribosomal RNA is filed under the name uncultured bacterium. RNAcentral's name for it is "partial 16S ribosomal RNA". It matches the Rfam family "Bacterial small subunit ribosomal RNA", at positions 568 to 795 of the family's 1533-position model. The record is from RNAcentral.